CGGGGUGUGGCUCAGACCGGUAGAGCGUGGCGCUUCGAGCGCCAAGGUCCGAGUUUCACAUUCCGCCAAGCCAA
Molecule: transfer RNA, 74 nt
Filed under: Chloroflexota bacterium
Lineage: Bacteria; Bacillati; Chloroflexota
Also listed under: 1 other name
Description: Chloroflexi bacterium tRNA-Arg
Rfam family: tRNA (bases 1-66)
About the family: Transfer RNA (tRNA) molecules are approximately 80 nucleotides in length. Their secondary structure includes four short double-helical elements and three loops (D, anti-codon, and T loops).
Source: RNAcentral